GACGAACGCUGGCGGCGUGCUUAACACAUGCAAGUCGAACGAAGUGGCGAACGGGUGAGUAACGCGUAAUCAACCUGCCCUUCAGAGGGGGACAACAGUUGGAAACGACUGCUAAUACCGCAUACUGAAGGAGGGGAUUGCGUCUGAUUUGCUAGUGGGAGGGGUAACGGCCCACCAAGGCGAUGAUCAGUAGGCGGUCUGAGAGGGGGAACGGGCACAUGGGGACUGAGACACGGCCCAGACUCCUACGGGAGGCAGGAGGGGGGAAUCUUCCGCAAUGGACGAAAGUCUGAAGGGGCAACGCCGCGGGAGUGAUGACGGCGUUCGGGUUGUAAAGCUCUGUUAAUCGGGACGCGGUACCGGAAUAGAAAGCCACGGCUAACUACGUGCCAGCAGCCGCGGUAAUUC
This 408-nucleotide ribosomal RNA is filed under the name uncultured bacterium. RNAcentral describes it as "partial 16S ribosomal RNA". It matches the Rfam family "Bacterial small subunit ribosomal RNA", at positions 28 to 526 of the family's 1533-position model. The record is from RNAcentral.